GGGCUUGUAGCUCAGUGGAAUAGAGUAUGCGUCUCCGAAGCGCGUGGUCGAGGGUUCAAUUCCCUCCAUGCCCA
This 74-nucleotide transfer RNA is filed under the name Lobosphaera incisa. Its description in RNAcentral is "tRNA-Arg". It matches the Rfam family "tRNA". Rfam says of the family: Transfer RNA (tRNA) molecules are approximately 80 nucleotides in length. Their secondary structure includes four short double-helical elements and three loops (D, anti-codon, and T loops). Lineage: Eukaryota; Viridiplantae; Chlorophyta; Trebouxiophyceae; Trebouxiales; Trebouxiaceae. The record is from RNAcentral.